RNAcentral lists this ribosomal RNA (443 nucleotides) under uncultured bacterium. Its description in RNAcentral is "partial 16S ribosomal RNA". It matches the Rfam family "Bacterial small subunit ribosomal RNA", at positions 338 to 795 of the family's 1533-position model. The record is from RNAcentral.
CCUACGGGGGGCUGCAGUGGGGAAUAUUGGGCAAUGGGCGCAAGCCUGACCCAGCAACGCCGCGUGAAGGAAGAAGGCUUUCGGGUCGUAAACUUCUUUUCUGAGGGACGAAGAAAGUGACGGUACCUCAGGAAUAAGCCACGGCUACCUACGUGCCAGCAGCCGCGGUACUACGUAGGUGGCAAGCGUUAUCCGGAUUUAGUGGGGGGAAAGGGCGUGUAGGCGGGAAAGCAAGUCAGGAGUGAAAACUCAGGGCUCAACCCUGGGCCUGCAUUUGAAACUGUUUAUCUUGAGUGCUGGAGAGGCAAUCGGAAUUCCGGGUGUAGCGGUGAAAUGCGUAGAUAUACGGAGGAACACCAGUGGCGAAGGCGGAUUGCUGGACAGUAACUGACGCUGAGGCGCGAAAGCGUGGGGAGCAAACAGGAUUAGAUACCCUGGUAGUC